Molecule: long non-coding RNA, 1794 nt
Filed under: Rattus norvegicus (Norway rat)
Lineage: Eukaryota; Metazoa; Chordata; Mammalia; Rodentia; Muridae
Description: long non-coding RNA NONRATT019450
Source: RNAcentral
CGGCCGCUCCGCGUUAGGAGCGCUAGGCUCCGCCGUGUGGCCGCCGCCGCCGCCGCUGCCAUGUCCCCGGGGAAGCCCGGGGCGGGCGGAGCGGGGACUAGGCGGACCGGCUGGCGGAGAAGGAGGCGGAGGCGUCGGCUGGAGGCGGAGACCAGGGCGCCCGGCUUCGGGCACCGGCGGGGCGCGUCCCGGGCACGUUCCAGGGCGCGCAGGGCAUGAAGCCCGCGGCGCGGGAGACGCGGACACCCCCGCGCUCGCCCGGGCUCCGCUGGGCGCUGCUGCCGCUGCUGCUGUUGCUACGCCAGGGCCAGGUAAGCCUUCGAGUGGGCCUGGGCGUGUGGUGGGAGGACGCGGGCCGAAUUGGCAUCGCCUGCACCUGCCCGAGUGUCACCCGCUCCAGGAAUACCCGGCGAGGGUCUAAGAGAUCGUGGUCUUGAGAGCCUUCCUCCUGGAGGGGGCUGGCAGGGAUCUUGGCCAGCCUCCCGCUCCCGCCACCAAGCCCCUUCCCUGACUACCGGGUGCCAUGGGAAGGGCGAGAUUCCGGGGUCCCUAGGGUGUUCCCCGCCGUGUCCGUUGACUCUUCCAUGGAAGCUCUUGCAUGGGCUGCAGGCGGCGUUGGCCCGGCCUUUCCCGGAGCUGGUCAGGUCUGGCCAGCGCGGGCCCUGCUCGCGCGCCCGAAGCGGCCGGAGGGGGCGUGUUUGCGGAGGGCUGUGGAUGGGGAGCAGGGCCUGCCUGGCUGAGCCAAGGCCGACCUACGACCUGGCCUGGAGGGGCCCGGAGAGCUUGGGCGGAAGGGCAGUGGCGGUCGCCGAGUGCUUGGGGACAGGCCCUGGCGUUGGGCAGUCGGGCGGUGGGCGAAGCGCCGGACCUCAGAAUGGAGGGUGCUGUUUGUGGGGAAAGUUCCCAGUCUUGCCAAGGUGGCCGCUCAAAGGGUCCCUUGAGGCUGCUGGCCCUGUUCUCAUCAUCGCUCCUGAGAUGGUGCUGGCUUUUCUGGGUGUGUAUUGGUGCUUUGUGGGCGCUAGCUAACCCCCUCCCCUCCAGACCUUUUUUUUUUUUUUUUUUUCUUGCUUCACUUUUGUUCAAUAAUGGUGGGACUCGAAUUUUGGAUCUUUUCUCUCUGUGGUAUUUCGUGGCAGGAGGUGUGAUGCAAGGCAGCCUGGGGACAUUCCCAUUUCGCAGAUAGGGAACUGAGGGAGAGAAGUGAAAGAGUGGAAUCACCCAGCUGGUGUUGCGGGAGCUGAGCAAGCGAGUUCUGCCUCACAGCCUUCUGGGAACUGGCUGUGGUCUUGAACCCUGCAGGCUGCAGAAACCCUACCAGUGUGGUAUUAACGUGGAAACACAAUGAUUCAGCCACUUCAGAAUAUAAGAUAAAUGAGGGAAACACGCUGCGGUAUACUGUUAAAAACCAGACAUCAUUUAACAUCACAGGCUUAAGCCCAGCUACUUCCUACAAAUUCUCCAUCACCUUGGGAACAGUCAAUGAGACCUCAGGAAAGCCCACAUACAAAAAUAUCACAACAGAGCCCUGGCCAGUGUCGGAUCUCCAAGUCGCCUACAUCGGUGUGACACAGGCUCUUCUCGCCUGGAGCAAUGCAAACGGCACCGCUUCUUACCGGAUGCAGAUUGUAGAGCUGACCACAAAUUCAUCAGGUGGUAUUUCAGAUCUGAAGCCGGGGACCCAUAAGAGCUUGGCUGUCCAAGGAUCGAAUGAGACCCAGCAUGACUUAUGGGUCACAGAAGGCGUCUCGGAUGCCAAUGGCACCGAGGGAAGCCCAGUGGCCAACAUAUCCCAAC